CCGAACCGACUAAUGUUGAAAAAUUAGCGGAUGACCUGUGGCUGGGGGUGAAAGGCCAAUCAAACCGGGAGAUAGCUGGUUCUCCCCGAAAGCUAUUUAGGUAGCGCCUCGUGAAUUCAUCUCCGGGGGUAGAGCACUGUUUCGGCUAGGGGGCCAUCCCGGCUUACCAACCCGAUGCAAACUGCGAAUACCGGAGAAUGUUAUCACGGGAGACACACGGCGGGUGCUAACGUCCGUCGUGAAGAGGGAAACAACCCAGACCGCCAGCUAAGGUCCCAAAGUCAUGGUUAAGUGGGAAACGAUGUGGGAAGGCCCAGACAGCCAGGAUGUUGGCUUAGAAGCAGCCAUCAUUUAAAGAAAGCGUAAUAGCUCACUGGUCGAGUCGGCCUGCGCGGAAGAUGUAACGGGGCUAAACCAUGC
This 420-nucleotide ribosomal RNA is filed under the name Salmonella enterica. RNAcentral describes it as "partial 23S ribosomal RNA". It matches the Rfam family "Bacterial large subunit ribosomal RNA", at positions 774 to 1192 of the family's 2925-position model. RNAcentral also lists the same sequence under 1 other name. The record is from RNAcentral. Lineage: Bacteria; Pseudomonadati; Pseudomonadota; Gammaproteobacteria; Enterobacterales; Enterobacteriaceae.